RNAcentral lists this ribosomal RNA (253 nucleotides) under uncultured bacterium. RNAcentral's name for it is "partial 16S ribosomal RNA". It matches the Rfam family "Bacterial small subunit ribosomal RNA", at positions 524 to 776 of the family's 1533-position model. The record is from RNAcentral.
UACGAAGGUCCCGAGCGUUAUCCGGAUUUAUUGGGUUUAAAGGGUGCGUAGGCGGAUUAUUAAGUCAGUGGUGAAAGCCCCAAGCCUAACUUGGGAACUGCCAUUGAUACUGAUGAUCUUGAGUACAUUUGAGGUGGGCGGAAUGUGUCAUGUAGCGGUGAAAUGCUUAGAUAUGACACAGAACACCGAUUGCGAAGGCAGCUCACUAAACUGUAACUGACGCUGAGGCACGAAAGCGUGGGGAGCAAACAGG